AGAUUGAACGCUGGCGGCAUGCCUAACACAUGCAAGUCGAACGGGAGUAGCAAUACUCUAGUGGCGGACGGGUGAGGAAUACGUAGGAAUUUGCCCUUAAGUGGGGGAUAACCCGGGGAAACCCGGAUUAAUACCGCAUGACCUCGAAAGAGCAAAGUGGGGGAUCGCAAGACCUCACGCUUUUGGAGAAGCCUACGUCGGAUUAGCUAGUUGGUGAGGUAAUGGCUCACCAAGGCGACGAUCCGUAACUGGUCUGAGAGGAUGAUCAGUCACACCGGAACUGAGACACGGUCCGGACUCCUACGGGAGGCAGCAGUGGGGAAUAUUGGACAAUGGGCGCAAGCCUGAUCCAGCAAUGCCGCGUGUGUGAAGAAGGCCUUGGUUGUAAGUACUACUUAAGUUAGGAAGAAAAAACGUACGACGUACUAACAACAGUAGAGUCUUGACGGUACGAACGAAGAAUAAGACACGACUAACUCUAGG
RNAcentral lists this ribosomal RNA (483 nucleotides) under uncultured soil bacterium. RNAcentral describes it as "bacterial SSU rRNA". It matches the Rfam family "Bacterial small subunit ribosomal RNA", at positions 26 to 507 of the family's 1533-position model. The record is from RNAcentral.